GCUGAAGACCUGGCUUUUGUUGGGUUGGAUGAGUGGCGAACGGGUGAGUAACACGUGAGUAACCUGCCCUCUUCUUUGGGAUAACGCCCGGAAACGGGUGCUAAUACUGGAUAUUCACUGGCCUUCGCAUGGGGGUUGGUGGAAAGGUUUGUUCUGGUGGGGGAUGGGCUCGCGGCCUAUCAGCUUGUUGGUGGGGUGAUGGCCUACCAAGGCUUUGACGGGUAGCCGGCCUGAGAGGGUGACCGGUCACAUUGGGACUGAGAUACGGCCCAGACUCCUACGGGAGGCAGCAGUGGGGAAUAUUGCACAAUGGGCGAAAGCCUGAUGCAGCGACGCCGCGUGAGGGAUGGAGGCCUUCGGGUUGUAAACCUCUUUCGCUCAUGGUCAAGCCGCAACUGUGGGUUGUGGUGAGGGUAGUGGGUAAAGAAGCGCCGGCUAACUACGUGCCAGCAGCCGCGGUAAUACGUAGGGCGCGAGCGUUGUCCGGAAUUAUUGGGCGUAAAGGGCUUGUAGGCGGUUGGUCGCGUCUGCCGUGAAAUUCUCUGGCUUAACUGGGGGCGUGCGGUGGGUACGGGCUGACUUGAGUGCGGUAGGGGAGACUGGAACUCCUGGUGUAGCGGUGGAAUGCGCAGAUAUCAGGAAGAACACCGGUGGCGAAGGCGGGUCUCUGGGCCGUUACUGACGCUGAGGAGCGAAAGCGUGGGGAGCGAACAGGAUUAGAUACCCUGGUAGUCCACGCUGUAAACGUUGGGCACUAGGUGUGGGGGCCACCCGUGGUUUCUGCGCC
Molecule: ribosomal RNA, 787 nt
Filed under: uncultured Actinomyces sp.
Lineage: Bacteria; Bacillati; Actinomycetota; Actinomycetes; Actinomycetales; Actinomycetaceae
Description: bacterial SSU rRNA
Rfam family: Bacterial small subunit ribosomal RNA
Source: RNAcentral